This 2360-nucleotide long non-coding RNA is filed under the name Helianthus annuus (common sunflower). Its description in RNAcentral is "hypothetical non coding rna". The record is from RNAcentral. Lineage: Eukaryota; Viridiplantae; Streptophyta; Magnoliopsida; Asterales; Asteraceae.
UGGGUUGAUUCUUGGGCCGUGAAUACCAACAGCAACCAACAAAAAUUAUUGGUCAAUUUAGUUAAAAUCAAGCUAGUGGGGCGGUUCCUUGGGUCUUGAAUACAAACAACAAACAACUUUUUCUUGAACACCAAUCAAACAAAAGAUGGUGCUUUUGGGCGGUUCUUGGGUUUUCUGACCAAAGACAACAAGGAUCUUUAAUUGUUUAUUUCUAGUGGGGUUGCCUUGGGUGGUGAUCACAAAAACCAACAAUACAAACGAUUAUUGGUUACUUGGGCGGUGCCCCAAUCAACAAAAAAAUAUCUUUCAAUAUAUAUGAUCUUUCGAUGAUUUUUUUUAUUUUUUUUUUUUAUGAAAAUUAUUUAUUUUCUUGGACGGUAAACCCAAAAACAAACAACAAGCUGAUUAGUUGUCAAUUGGGCGGUGCCUUGGACAGUGGAACUUGGCGGUGAUUACCAAACAACACACAACCAAAAGUUAUUGGGCGGUUGGGGCGGUGCACCACACAAUUCAACAAAACGAUGGUCCUUUUUGGCGCUGUUGAAAUGAUCGUUUGGUUGAAAUGAUCUUUCGAAGGUGUUGGAGGUUAAUGAUUAUCCUUCGAAAUAAUUAAUGAUCAUUCGAAAACAAGAAUGAAUCUGAUCCUUCGAAGCACAAGAGAUCUGACCCUUCGAUAAUUGUUGAUGAUCUUUCAAAGUUGCUUAACUGUCAAGAUGACCUUUCGAGAAAAAGUUGGGUUGACCCUUCGAAACAAACAAAUGAUCUAUCGAAGUAGUUGAGAUGACCCUUCGAUGAACUGCUUGACCUUUCAAUGUUGUGAAAAGACCUUUCGAACAGAUAACUGAUCCUUCGAAGUAUGAAGAUGUCCUUCGAAGUAUGAAGAUAUCAAGAACUUCAAGAACACAGCUACUGGGUUUAUGGUAACCAUAAUUUGUCUAGCAAACACACACACGGUCAACCGAAUAACCCUCUCGUUUGACCACUUCAAACGAGCGGGUCUAUACACGUUCGAUAGACCGUUUCACUAACUAUUACAAAUUCAGCGUAAUAUAAUAACUAAUCUAUUCGACAAGCAUCGGACACAAAAUCUGCAUCAACAUAUAGUUAUGCAAUUAGAGCUUAUUAUAUCCAUGUCUCAUGGAAUCAUGUAAAGAUGUUAACUUCCCAUAUGAUAAAAUAAAGAAGAUCAACAAACUGCAAAACAUUAAAGAUUAAGUGUCCUUUAAUAACUAUGAAACACAAAAUUCGUUUCUAAAUUUAUAUCAACUAUUAACUUUUCAAAUAUAACAGUUUAGGAGGUUUAAUCAUUAAUGCAUUAAGUUUUUCGUAAGUAAGUGAGUUCGAGCUGCAAUUUAUUAAAAAAGUUCGGGCUUGGGCUCACUUAGGCUUGCGAGCCAACUUGAUCUCGAUAAAGGAAGCUCGGGCUUAGGCUCAUUUAUUAAACAAAUUUUUAUUUUUAGGCCCAAGCUUAGGAUUGCGUUCAUCUAAACUUGACUCUAUUCGAGCUCUUAGCCGAUCUAGAUUAGCUCAAGAGCGACUUGGCUCGUUUACACCCAAAGAAGAAAUGAUAUAAAUUUGAGAACAAAAGAAGGAAUAAAAAGGCGCAAGGUGUGUACACCUAAAGGUACGACAAUGUGUGCGGGUCGCGCGUGGUGGUCUUUCACCACCGGCAGGUGGCGGGGUAGCACUCUUGCACCGCCACCCACCAUCCUUAUCUUCUGCAUUAAACACCCACCAUCCAUAACAACAGUUUCUCUAGGAUGACAUGUAAUUUAACAUAUCAUCAAUCUUUAAGCAAGCCACUAUAAAAAAUAAAAACACACAUAAGAUGACAUGUGAACUUACAUUCAACUUAAACCAAUCAGAAAAUUGGGUCCCAAGGUUUUCUAAAACACAAAGAUAAGCCCUAUAUUGUUAAAAAAGUGGAUAAAAUUUCUUACCAAAGGUUAAUUAGGGAGAUUUACUUCAUAAAGGCUCUUAUGUUCCAUUAGUGUUGAUACCUAGCGGUCAUAAUCUGCUAAAAUUUAGCCUAAAAUUUAGCCUAAAACCGUCAAGAGGACAUAUGAAAUGGCUAAAAACAAAUGUAGACUAAGAUAUUUUGCAAGAACAAAAAAUAAGUGAAGUGGUCAACUACAACAGCUUAAACAACGUUUCUUUGAACCACUUGGAAACCAAAAUCUAACAAAUCUAGACAAAAAUCAGUGAAAUGGAACCAUACCUGGAAUGAAGAUAAAAUUUUGUCAACUUUCACUUAUUAGCUAGCGUUGGCUGAACAAAGAGGAGAUGGUGAAGAUAGAGAAGGGGAUAAAACACGGAUGAAACACAAAAACUCGAAAUACGCACAAAUUUAUAAUAAAAAA